CAAGGCUUCAAUGCUUCUCCA
RNAcentral lists this non-coding RNA (21 nucleotides) under Arabidopsis thaliana (thale cress). Lineage: Eukaryota; Viridiplantae; Streptophyta; Magnoliopsida; Brassicales; Brassicaceae. The record is from RNAcentral.